RNAcentral lists this transfer RNA (72 nucleotides) under Camelus bactrianus (Bactrian camel). It matches the Rfam family "tRNA". Rfam says of the family: Transfer RNA (tRNA) molecules are approximately 80 nucleotides in length. Their secondary structure includes four short double-helical elements and three loops (D, anti-codon, and T loops). Lineage: Eukaryota; Metazoa; Chordata; Mammalia; Artiodactyla; Camelidae. The record is from Rfam by way of RNAcentral. RNAcentral also lists the same sequence under 2 other names.
AGGUAUAUAGCUCAGUGGUAAAGCAUGUGCUUAGCAUGCCUAAGGUCCUGGGUUCAAUCCCCAGUUCCUCCA